UCAAUUUUUCUGUGAGGUUUGAGAAUCUCUCUUAAUGAGCCUUGAGGUCUUGGGCUCUCUCCAACGAGUCCUGCUUUUCUUUUCUGUCAUCAUAGGUCCAUCAAGAGGGAAAAAUCGCAACAAAGGGAAGGCUACAAGUUUUGGAGAAGACUUCGUAGUUCAUCGUCCCAUGACUCAAUCCCUGAUUCAUGAACAUAACAGAAUAUUCAAUUGUAAGUUUCAACCUGUCCUUAUUUUUCCUUCUGCAAUUUCUGAAUUCUCAAUUCAAGCUUCCUUACUCUAUCAAGUGGUCCAACCUACCCACCAUCCGAAUGCCUAACCCAAUAAUAGAAUGGAAUCUCGAGUAUAAUCAAUGCAAAGGAAUCUGGCGCUUAUUAAUGAUGGUUUUGCUAAGGUACAGCUGGAUAAUGACCAAACUUCAUUCCAAACUCACGGCCAUGGAAGGCCUUCUUACAAUGACUGCUAGGGGAAUAGCUAUCAUUGAUAAAGGAGACAUUAUUACUCAAACACCCAUGGGUCACAAACCACAGCUAUCAGUUCUCCCUGUCAAACCCCACCACACGCAUAACAUUCAAAGGAGGUAGCUAGCUACGUGAUGAAUGGAUUUACCCUUCUUUGAUGUUUCUGACCCAAUUGGAUGAAUUGCCUAAGCAAAGCAAUAUUUCGAAAACAAUGGAACACGCCCAGACCUUCAAACAGCCUUAGCAUUGGUUUGCAUGGAGGGCAGUUAAUAGAAGUCCCAAGAAAUAGAGACUCGGCACAAGGCAAUUGAAGGUUAGUUAUAGAAGAACUAGAAGAAUGACAGAAAAUUAUGGAGGAGAAAUAACAGUUAGAAGCACACAGCUAGAAUUAGUUAGUGAGGAGGUUACUUGAUGUAGUCACAUCAUAUAGGCAUCUAGGAAUCAUAUUCAUUACAUUUUAUUCAUAUUUAGUUACUUAUUAUUUUAUUUUUAUAUGUUUUUAGUUAUCUUUUAAGAUUUGUUUAAAUUGAGUGUGAUCCCAUGUUUUUGGACUUCAUUAAGUAUAUUUUGAAAGUCCAGUAAGGUGUGGAAGGAAUUGAAGAGGAGUUUAAUGUUAGGGUUAAGGAACCCUAA
RNAcentral lists this unclassified non-coding RNA (1094 nucleotides) under Hevea brasiliensis (rubber tree). Lineage: Eukaryota; Viridiplantae; Streptophyta; Magnoliopsida; Malpighiales; Euphorbiaceae. The record is from RNAcentral.